AUACGUAGGGUGCGAGCGUUAAUCGGAAUUACUGGGCGUAAAGCGUGCGCAGGCGGUUUUGUAAGUCUGUUGUGAAAUCCCCGGGCUCAACCUGGGGACUGCCAUUGUGACUGCACGGCUAGAGUACGGCAGAGGGGGGUGGAAUUCCGCGUGUAGCAGUGAAAUGCGUAGAGAUGUGGAGGAAUACCGAUGGCGAAGGCAACCCCCUGGGAUGGUACUGACGCUCAUGCACGAAAGCGUGGGGAGCAAACAGGAUUAGAUACCCUGGUAGUCCACGCCCUAAACGAUGUCAAUUGGCUGUUGGGGGUUAAAAUCCUUGGUAGCGAAGCUAACGCGUGAAGUUGACCGCCUGGGGAGUACGGCCGCAAGGUUGA
Molecule: ribosomal RNA, 374 nt
Filed under: uncultured bacterium
Lineage: Bacteria
Description: bacterial SSU rRNA
Rfam family: Bacterial small subunit ribosomal RNA
Source: RNAcentral